UCUCUCCUUCUUUCAUCUCUUUUCUUCUUCCUCUCUCUCUAGGCUAAGGAAGGGUUGAGGAAGUUGAUGUUGGCAGCUUGGGGAGUUGCGGGCUGAGGAGUAAAGCCUGAUCCAAACAGAGAAUUCCUGCUGUUGGAGUUGCUGAACAACCUGCUGGCAGCUUGAUAGAUUGGGCUUGUUGAUGCUGCAGAGCAGGGAUUCUAGCUGAGAGAGCUUGGAAUUUGGGGCUAACCUGAUUCUCGCAGGGUGCCAAGUGCAGACCCAGCUUGGUACAGCUUGGGAGCUUGAUGUGCAUGGAAUUCAAAAUUCCAUGCUGAUUGCGGCUGCUACGUUGAUGCCUUGAUUAAGGAAGUUUGGAAAUUGAAGGAACUAAGUAAAGCUGAGAAAGGAAAAGGCUUGUGGACUGAGUUGUGGCUGUUGGAGCUACAGCUGAGAAGUUGCAGUCCAGAUUAGAGGAAGAGAUUGGUAAAGUCUCAAGCUUGGGGCUGAGUAGAGCUGCCAAGUUAAAGCUUCAGCUGAGGGAAACUCAAAAUCUUAGUGCUGAAAAUUGGAAAAUUCUGGACACCCAGAUGGAGGAGGGAGCAUAGUGAAGCUUCCAAUUAAGCAGAUUGUGAAGAGCAGAUUGUGAAGAGAAGCUAGUAAAGCAAGAUUAUUUCUUGUGACAGCUGAAAGUAACUAGGAGGAACUCCAAAUUACGGGCUGCUACCUCAUGAAGUUGAAUUGAAGAAGGGCUCAGUGAAGUUCUAAAAUCAGGUCUGCGGCGCACGAAUUACGGUAGAAGCCGUUUUAGCUCUAUUUGCACGGAGUCGCGAGAGCUCGUUGUUGAGACAGUGCGAGACGGUGAUUCCAGUUUGUUGGCAUCCCUACAGGAAAGUCGCUCCUCCUUGAACGAUGAGCUCCGGAGUAGUCAUCUUAACUGGAUCAGGAGCUAGCGUCUCCCCGAGUUGACAGUCCCGUCGGGAUGUAACUUGCGUCUCUCCGAUAUUUGGGAUAUCGUCGAUUCCAGUGCGAGCGGUGUGGCCGAGAAUCGUGGCAAGAGCCCAGCAGCCUAGCUAGCAGACACCCGAGUUUAGUGGUAUACCAUUUUGGGUUUCAUGUUGUACAUAAUAUUGAAUAGAGAGAAAUGUAAAUGAAAGUGUAAAUGAUGUAAAUAACUAAAUGCCUCAGUUAUCCAGUUUAUA
Ananas comosus (pineapple) is the source of this 1181-nucleotide long non-coding RNA. RefSeq lists it as uncharacterized. NCBI's taxonomy places the organism in Eukaryota, Viridiplantae, Streptophyta, Magnoliopsida, Poales, Bromeliaceae. The record is from RefSeq and is a predicted model, not a curated record. The transcript has 8 exons.